AUGGCCGCCCGCAAGCGACCUGCUGCCGUCCUCGACGCCGACCACGGCCACGCGACGGCUCAACAUCAACAAUCGCCGACGUGCUGCAAGAGGAGCCGCGCCUCCAUCGGGAGCACCGACGACUACGAGAAGGUGGCCUGCCUAGGCGAGGGUGGCUUCGGCGUCGUCCACAGGAUGCGCCACCGCGUCACCAAAAAGGACGUGGCCGUCAAGUUCCUCUCCUCGCCGGACGACACCGAGGAGCCCCCCGACGUCCAAGAUCUUGAGCGGGAGGCACGAUUCCUCGAGGCCUGCAACGGAAACCCUUACGUCGUCGGCUUCGAGGGCAUGGUGUGCGACCCGGCCACCGGCGACACCGCCGGCCUCGUCAUGGAGUACGUCGCGGCGUCGAGCCUCCUGUCUUUAUUGUGGGACAGGCGCGGCGACCCGCCGCUCCCGGAAUCCACGGUGCGCGACUUCAUGCGGAAGCUCCUGACCGGCGCCGAAAAGAUGCACGAGCACGAGCGCCACAUCGUCCACCGUGACAUCAAGCCAGCCAAUAUCCUCGUCGGGAAGAACGGGGAGCUCCUCAAGAUUUGCGACCUCGGGCUGGCCAUGUCCAUGUGCGACUGGCCGCCGUACAACCAGGUCGGCACGGCGCCCUACAUGGCGCCGGAGAUGAUCCUGGGCAAGCAGGACUACGACGCGCUCGUGGACACGUGGUCCAUCGGCUGCGUCUUUGCCGAGCUGCUCACCGGCACGACGCUGUUCACGGUCGACCCCAAAGACGAGGAGGAAGACGAGACAAAGAAUGACGUAAAGCAGCUGUGGAGCAUCUUCCGGGUGCUCGGGGUGCCGGACGAGAGGACGUGGCCAGGCUUCACGUCGCUGCCGCUGGCUAAGAAGGCGCCGCAGCUGCUACAGGCGGGGCACAACAAGCACCGGCUGCGGGAUUUGUUCCCUGAAGAGAAGCUGUCCGACAAAGGAUUCCAGGUGUUGCAAGGGCUCCUCACGUGCAACCCCGACGAGCGACUGACGGCAGCCGCCGCGCUGAAGCACCCAUGGUUCGCAGCUCCUCGUUCCGCCGCCGACGCCGUUGAGAAGGUCGAUGCUCUGUCAUUUCCGAAAAGGAAGACACCAAGGAUCAAGUUCAUCCCGCCGGCCAUGCCC
Molecule: ribosomal RNA, 1149 nt
Filed under: Triticum aestivum (bread wheat)
Lineage: Eukaryota; Viridiplantae; Streptophyta; Magnoliopsida; Poales; Poaceae
Description: partial small subunit ribosomal RNA
Source: RNAcentral